AAUAUAGAGAAUAAUCAUAAUAAUAAUGAUAUUUAUUGCCUUUUGCUAUGAAAGGGACAUUUUCUUGAACAUUUCUUAAUGAAGACAUUGUAAUUUAAAAAUAAAAACUAGCAUCCUGCAUCUUUGAUUGCCAGAUUCAUCAUAACACGCAUAAAUAUAAACAAAAAGACUCAAGAUAUAGCUCUUUAAAAAACCUGUGUGUGUGAUAAUGUCAUAUAGUUAGUUAAAAAUUGCUUUGAUUUAUAGGGAUUUAAUUUAGUGACUUUACCAUUUGUUUUAAUGAUGUUUAUUUACAGUGCAAUCUAUUCUGCUUACCCGACUCAUGCAGACUUCUGUCCUGAUGUUUGGCUGUAGUCCUUCCAUCAUCCACUCUUCUGCAACCGGUCUAUUUAUGGAGACCACCAUGAUCUAAUCUAUACAGAUCUAGUUGUCUCUUCUCCCACAAACUCCUAUUUCAGAUUUUGAGCGGAUCUCCUUCAUUCUGCCGCCAGCUCACCAGAACCUCAGGGUGCACCAGCUGUGGAUAUUACAGGCCAAACUUUGGACACCCUAGGACAACAUCCUUAGCACAGAUCUACCUAUAGCCCUCCAUCAUUCCCACAUCCAUCUUGCAACAGUUUCAUUAAGUGCAGUCCAUAACCAGUUCACGGUCUACACCUUGUCCAUUGCAAAUGUUAUGGAUUAU
Long non-coding RNA from Carassius carassius (crucian carp), 685 nucleotides. RefSeq lists it as uncharacterized. The record is from RefSeq and is a predicted model, not a curated record. Lineage: Eukaryota; Metazoa; Chordata; Actinopteri; Cypriniformes; Cyprinidae. The transcript is spliced from 3 exons.